GACGAACGCUGGCGGCGUGCUUAACACAUGCAAGUCGAACGGAAAGGCCUGCUUUCCCUUGUGGAUUGCGGGUACUCGAGUGGCGAACGGGUGAGUAACACGUGAGUGAUCUGCCCCCAACUUGGGUAUAAGCCUGGGAAACUGGGUCUAAUUCCCGAUAGGACUGCAGGGUGGUGCCUGUGGUGGAAAACGAUUUUCUAGUGGUUGGGGAUGAGCUCGCGGCCUAUCAGCUUGUUGGUGGGGUAAUGGCCUACCAAGGCGGCGACGGGUGGCCGGCGUGAGAGGGUGGACGGCCACAUUGAGACUGAGAUACGGCCCAGACUCCUACGGGAGGCAGCAGUGGGGAAUAUAGCACAAUGGGCGGAAGCCUGAUGCAGCGACGCCGCGUGGGGGAUGACGGCCUUCGGGUUGUAAACUCCUUUCGACCGCGAGGAAGCCACCUGGUUGGAAGGGUGGUGACGGUAGUGGUAGAAGAAGCACCGGCUAACUACGUG
This 494-nucleotide ribosomal RNA is filed under the name uncultured bacterium. RNAcentral describes it as "partial 16S ribosomal RNA". It matches the Rfam family "Bacterial small subunit ribosomal RNA", at positions 28 to 507 of the family's 1533-position model. The record is from RNAcentral.